UGAGGAAUAUUGGGCAAUGCCCGCAAGGGUGACCCAGCAACGCCGCGUGGAGGAUAAAUGUCGUAAGAUUGUAAACUCCUGUUAGAGGGGAAGAAUAGUACCGGUUGGACCGGUAUAUGACUGUACCCUCAGAGAAAGCCCCGGCUAACUACGUGCCAGCAGCCGCGGUAAUACGUAGGGGGCAAGCGUUGUCCGGAUUUACUGGGUGUAAAGGGCGCGCAGGCGGGAUAAAAAGUCAGUGGUGAAAUCCUACAGCUUAACUGUAGAACUGCCUUUGAUACUUGUAUUCUUGAGUUCGGGAGAGAGAGACGGAAUUCCAGGUGUAGUGGUGAAAUACGUAGAUAUCUGGAAGAACACCAGUUGCGAAGGCGGUCUCUUGGUCCGACACUGACGCUGAGGCGCGAAAGCGUGGGGAGCAAACA
RNAcentral lists this ribosomal RNA (422 nucleotides) under uncultured bacterium. RNAcentral's name for it is "bacterial SSU rRNA". It matches the Rfam family "Bacterial small subunit ribosomal RNA", at positions 355 to 774 of the family's 1533-position model. The record is from RNAcentral.